This 74-nucleotide transfer RNA is filed under the name Candidatus Woesebacteria bacterium RBG_16_36_11. RNAcentral describes it as "tRNA-Thr". It matches the Rfam family "tRNA". From Rfam's summary of the family: Transfer RNA (tRNA) molecules are approximately 80 nucleotides in length. Their secondary structure includes four short double-helical elements and three loops (D, anti-codon, and T loops). The record is from RNAcentral. Lineage: Bacteria; Candidatus Woeseibacteriota.
GCCUCCCUAGCUCAAUGGCAGAGCGACGGUUUUGUAAACCGCUGAUAACAGUUCGAUUCUGUUGGGGGGCUCAA